RNAcentral lists this long non-coding RNA (174 nucleotides) under Cyanistes caeruleus (blue tit). RNAcentral describes it as "lncRNA (ENSCCEG00000023518.1)". Lineage: Eukaryota; Metazoa; Chordata; Aves; Passeriformes; Paridae. The record is from RNAcentral.
AAGAAAGCCUGUGUGAACCAGAAGGUCAAGGUUAAGAGUGGACCCAUCUGCAGGUCAGGGCUGUUGUUAACACUGAAAAAGGAGGAAACAGUCAGCAGUUCCACCAUGAGUAGCAGCCAACAUGAACUUGUCAAGAAUAAAUCACAUCUUUAUUGUCAGGUAGGCACCUAAAAA